AGCUCCAAUAGCGUAUAUUAAAGUUGCUGCAGUUAAAAAGCUCGUAGUUGGAUUUGUGGCGCGGUCGUCCGGCGGGGCUUCCGGUUUCAUAGUAUCCCGGGGCCGUUUGUCUGGGUUCUUGGCCGCCCCAUUCUUCGGUUGCGUGUCGCUGGCAUUAGGUUGUCGGCUUCUUCGCGCCGAUCGUUUACUGUGAAAAAAUUAGAGUGUUCAAAGCAAGCGAUUUGCCCUGAAUACAUUAGCAUGGAAUAAUAGAAUAGGACCUGGUCUUAUUUUGUUGGUUUGUAUAAUUUCAGGUAAUGAUUAACAGGGACGGUUGGGGGCAUUUGUAUUCCGAGGCGAGAGGUGAAAUUCUUAGACCCUCGGAAGACAAACAGCUGCGAAAGCGUUUGCCAAGGACGUU
RNAcentral lists this ribosomal RNA (400 nucleotides) under phytoplankton environmental sample. RNAcentral describes it as "partial small subunit ribosomal RNA". It matches the Rfam family "Eukaryotic small subunit ribosomal RNA", at positions 587 to 968 of the family's 1831-position model. The record is from RNAcentral.